This 27-nucleotide non-coding RNA is filed under the name Mus musculus (house mouse). The record is from RNAcentral. Lineage: Eukaryota; Metazoa; Chordata; Mammalia; Rodentia; Muridae.
UGGGAUUAUAGCAUAUACAACUCGUGG